UACGGAGGGUGCAAGCAUUAAUCGGAAUUAUUGGGCGUAAAGGGCGCGUAGGCGGAGAGAGAAGUCAGAGGUGAAAUCCCGGGACUCAACCCCGGAACAGCAUUUGAAACUUUCUUUCUAGAGGGUUGGCGGAGAAAACGGAAUUCCACAAGUAGCGGUGAAAUGCGUAGAUAUGUGGAAGAACACCAGUGGCGAAGGCGGUUUUCUAGCUUACACCUGACGCUGAGGCGCGAAAGCAAGGGGAUCAAACAGG
This 253-nucleotide ribosomal RNA is filed under the name uncultured bacterium. Its description in RNAcentral is "partial 16S ribosomal RNA". It matches the Rfam family "Bacterial small subunit ribosomal RNA", at positions 524 to 776 of the family's 1533-position model. The record is from RNAcentral.